CGAACUUUCCCGAUGAUUGAAGCUUGCUUCAUGAAUCGGAUCUAAGUGAGUGGCGGACGGGUGAGUAACACGUGGGUAACCUGCCCGAAAGUGGGGGAUAACAUUUGGAAACAAGUGCUAAUACCGCAUAACAACUACUUUCACAUGAUCGUAGUUUAAAAGAUGGCUCUGCUAUCGCUUUUGGAUGGACCCGCGGCGUAUUAGCUAGUUGGUGAGGUAAAGGCUCACCAAGGCAAUGAUACGUAGCCGACCUGAGAGGGUAAUCGGCCACAUUGGGACUGAGACACGGCCCAAACUCCUACGGGAGGCAGCAGUAGGGAAUCUUCCACAAUGGGCGAAAGCCUGAUGGAGCAAUGCCGCGUGAGUGAAGAAGGUUUUCGGAUCGUAAAACUCUGUUGUUGAAGAAGAACAUGCGUGAGAGUAACUGUUCACGUACUGACGGUAUUCAACCAGAAAGCCACGGCUAACUACGUGCCAGCAGCCGCGGUAAUACGUAGGUGGCAAGCGUUGUCCGGAUUUAUUGGGCGUAAAGAGAAUGUAGGCGGUUUAUUAAGUUUGAAGUGAAAGCCCUCGGCUCAACCGAGGAAGUGCUUCGAAAACUGGUAAACUUGAGUGCAGAAGAGGAAAGUGGAACUCCAUGUGUAGCGGUGGAAUGCGUAGAUAUAUGGAAGAACACCAGUGGCGAAGGCGGCUUUCUGGUCUGUAACUGACGCUGAGAUUCGAAAGCAUGGGUAGCAAACAGGAUUAGAUACCCUGGUAGUCCAUGCCGUAAACGAUGAGUGCUAAGUGUUGGAGGGUUUCCGCCCUUCAGUGCUGCAGCUAACGCAUUAAGCACUCCGCCUGGGGAGUACGAUCGCAAGAUUGAAACUCAAAGGAAUUGACGGGGGCCCGCACAAGCGGUGGAGCAUGUGGUUUAAUUCGAAGCAACGCGAAGAACCUUACCAGGUCUUGACAUACCAUGAAAAGCUAAGAGAUUAGUCUUUCCCUUCGGGGACAUGGAUACAGGUGGUGCAUGGUUGUCGUCAGCUCGUGUCGUGAGAUGUUGGGUUAAGUCCCGCAACGAGCGCAACCCUUAUUAUCAGUUGCCAGCAUUCAGUUGGGCACUCUGGUGAGACUGCCGGUGACAAACCGGAGGAAGGUGGGGGACGACGUCAAAUCAUCAUGCCCCUUAUGACCUGGGCUACACACGUGCUACAAUGGUCGGUACAACGUGCUGCGAACUCGCGAGGGCAAGCAAAUCACUUAAAACCGAUCUCCAGUUCGGAUUGUAGGCUGCAACUCGCCUACAUGAAGCUGGAAUCGCUAGUAAUCGCGGAUCAGCAUGCCGCGGUGAAUACGUUCCCGGGCCUUGUACACACCGCCCGUCACACCAUGAGAGUUUGUAACACCCAAAGCCGGUGGGGUAACCCUUCGGGGUAGCUAGCCGUCU
RNAcentral lists this ribosomal RNA (1429 nucleotides) under Companilactobacillus heilongjiangensis. RNAcentral's name for it is "bacterial SSU rRNA". It matches the Rfam family "Bacterial small subunit ribosomal RNA". The record is from RNAcentral. Lineage: Bacteria; Bacillati; Bacillota; Bacilli; Lactobacillales; Lactobacillaceae.